AAUAUGUGCAAAGAGACGAUCAACUUCCAGAGAGCAUUGAUUCGGAGAUGCAUGAUGAUGUGGUUGAGGUGGACAAGAUUGAGGACAGUAAUCGUGAGGAAGAUGAUGGGGCUGGGUUUGAGGCGGAUGAACAAGUGGUGGAAUUAAACAUUGAUGAAGGGAAUUUGGGAAUCUGGACAGUACGUGGUAGAUGACAUGCACUGAAGAAAACAGAUACAUUUUUAUGAGACCGGGUAGUAAGAGCAGAGUGUUGAAGAAGACAAAAAGUUUGAAGACAAUGAAGGAGGAGGAAAGAUGUUCAACAUGAAGUAAAGGGGGAACUGCUUGUAACCUAAGUAGGAUUGUGAAGAUGAAAACUUGGUCAAACGUAGGUGAUUGGCUGAGCUGAACAGUACAGGAUGAUUGUCAUACACUGAAGAAGACAGAUACAUCUUAUGGGACAGGGUAGUAAAAGGAAGGUGUUGAAGUGGACAGAGACUUUAAAGACGAAUGAUGAGGGAUCAUGAAUUUUAGAUACAAGUGGAGUGUUUUUGAAGGAUAGAGAGAGAGAGAGAGGAGGGAUCUAAAGCCUUUGUUAACUCUCCUUUUUCUAGGAUUUCUUUGACUAUUUCUUCAGAACCAGAAGGAUCAAACCCUCCCUUGCCACUCUUAGGGAAAUUAGCAGGUUUGGGCUUACAGUUGCAGUGGUAGUGUACUGAACUCAAUUUGAAUAUUUUAUCUUCUUCUGAGACUGUCCAACCCAAGUUAUUCGACCAUUUGACAUGUCUACAUUCCUUAUAUUUGAAAGUUGGAGAAUAAUGAAAUAUGAAGAUAUAGAAGAGGAAUUUAAAAGCCUCUUUUCUUUUGUGGAUGUUUGGUUCUUUCUUCUCUCUUUUGCUUCAUAACUUCAUUCUCACCUCAGAAUUAAAACAGCUAAACCCUCCCUGCCUCAGACUUAAUGACUUCAGCAUAUGAUAUAAUACUUUAGCAUAACUGAGAGCAGGUAAAACCACAAUAGAGAGCAGCAGAUUACUUUCAAAAUUAUAGCACCGACUUCCCAGCUCCUACCAGAGUUACUGUGUGUCCAACUGCAAUGAACUUAUGAGACUGUCUAUAGCACCUUCCUACUUCUCAAAUUUUACAACACUUACGCCCUGCACUACAUGGGGGGUGAUAUUUUACUAGAGAGGAGGUUGAACUUGUAGGGAAGUUUUUAUGGAGUAUGGGAGUGAGAUUGCCUUGGUUGGUGAUUUGCUAGUUACAAGUCUGCCUACUAUUGAGCAGAAACCAGAUCAAACCUAGUCCAAAAGAAAGAUGUGUUGGUCAAGGAUGAUGAAAAAAGUCAAAAACCUCGAUGGCUAUCAAUGGAUUCAUAGCAAUGUAAGCUACUCUUGCUAAUAUUGAUCUGGACUGUUGCUUGAUUCCCGAGUCACCCUUUUACCUUGAAGGAGCUGGAGGACAAUUUGAAGAAAUAAAUUAAAGAAAAUGGAUACAUGGUUAUAGUAAUAGCUAAAAAGUGCAAGAAAAAAGCUUUUUUGUAAGCAUGAACACCAAAGACCUGCAGGAUUCUUUUGCAAAUAAGCUACUCCAGGAUGUGAGUCUGGAUAUAUCAAAAUUUUAGGGGUUCAUGAGAAAUUCUUUGAAGUAAUCACAACCUUUUUGCUGCUCAUUAUCAAUUCAUGAAAUUGAAGAUGGCUAUUAGCCUUAAAUUUUUAGAUCCCAUGUACAUGCUGUUCCAAGCAAUGCAUCGGAUAAUGUGUGUUAAAUCCCCCUAGUGCACAACCAUUUGUGGGGCAAUGGCAGGGUAUACGAGCUCCUAUUAAUGGGAGACAUGCUUAGAUACCAUUCUAUAGCCAGAGGUGUUUCAUAGCAUGGAAGAGAAACAACUGGCAGUAGGGAUGAAGAUAUUAUGAAUACAUUGGCUUCAUUAGUUGGAUUAGCUGUCUCAUGUCAGUCAUGCCACACUAAAGGAGUUCUUUCCAUAGUUUGGUUUAUUUCCUUCAAGAUAGAGGUCAUUUCAAAGCACAAGACAAACAGAAGUAAUCUUCUCUCUUCCUCCCCCUCCUCUGUUUUAGGCAAAUUAUGUUUGUCCAGAACUCUUCCUGCCUUUUCUUUCUCUCUGUGGUGGUGUUGUUACUAUUAAUUGAUGUUUUUUUUUUUUACCAUGAAUAGCACCUGUAUCCGACCAAACAAAACCCACUUACUUUACAAGGGAGCUCUGAGGGCGAGCACUUGACAUAUGAGAAAGGAUUCUGAGCUACCAAAGAAGUAAUUCUUCCCUUUAUCACUGACAAGGCUCAUUAAGCUGGUACCACAACCCAUGUUUGAAGUUUUACGCAUGGAGAAUGAUGUUGUAUACUAUGAGGCCCAAUUGCCCAUACUAUUUGUGGAGUUCAUGCACGGUCUGCCACUUAUAAACUCGGGGUGCAGGUAUUGCAUAGAUUAUCUAGUACAGUGUAAAACUAUUGGAGAGGCACAUUUUAUAGGGUUCAAAAUUGUUGAGCAAGGAUGCACCUCAAAUAAGCUUGUCUUACAUUCUGAUGCAAGAUAGCUAAUUGAUAAAGCUUGAUAGGCCCUGCAUACGUCAGAUUAAUGAAGCUCCCUUUCUCUUUGUCCUGAUCAUUGACCUUAUUUAUAAAGCUCUAUACUCAAUUCAUGGAUGUAAAAGUGCUGAUAGAUGUGUCUCCAUUCAAAAUCAUGAACAUAGCAUGUCAAGGAUGUCAAGAAGAAACAAUGUCAAGCAGUGACUUAUGAACAGGAAAUUAGGCAAAUGCUUUUAUGUAUAUCUGUAAGUUCAUUCCAAAGAGUUUGUUGUUUAAAUGUGAAUGCCUGGAUAAAACGUUUAUUGCUGUAAGGACAGGUUUUGAUUUCAA
This is a long non-coding RNA of Quercus lobata, 2852 nucleotides long. RefSeq lists it as uncharacterized. The transcript has 14 exons. NCBI's taxonomy places the organism in Eukaryota, Viridiplantae, Streptophyta, Magnoliopsida, Fagales, Fagaceae. The record is from RefSeq and is a predicted model, not a curated record.